AGUGAACGCUGGCGGUGGGCCUAACACAUGCAAGUCGAACGGCAGCACAGUAAGAGCUUGCUCCUACGGGUGGCGAGUGGCGGAUGGGUGAGGAAUACAUCGGAAUCUACUUUUUCGUGGGGGAUAACGUAGGGAAACUUACGCUAAUACCGCAUAUGAUCAACGGGUGAAAGCAAGAGAUCUUCGGACCUUGCGUGAUUGAAUGAGCCGAUGCCGGAUUAGCUAGUUGGCGGGGUAAAGGCCCACCAAGGCGACGAUGCGUAGCUGGUCUGAGAGGAUGAUCGGCCACACUGGAACUGAGACACGGUCCAGACUCCUACGGGAGGCAGCAGUGGGGAAUAUUGGGCAAUGGGCGCAAGCCUGAUCCAGCCAUGCCGCGUGGGUGAAGAAGGCCUUCGGGUUGUAAAGCCCUUUUGUUGGGGAAGAAAAGCUGCAUGAUAAACCCCCGCUGUUCUGACGGUACCCAAAGAAUAAGCACCGGCUAACUUCGUG
RNAcentral lists this ribosomal RNA (492 nucleotides) under uncultured bacterium. Its description in RNAcentral is "partial 16S ribosomal RNA". It matches the Rfam family "Bacterial small subunit ribosomal RNA", at positions 29 to 507 of the family's 1533-position model. The record is from RNAcentral.